RNAcentral lists this ribosomal RNA (372 nucleotides) under uncultured organism. RNAcentral's name for it is "bacterial SSU rRNA". It matches the Rfam family "Bacterial small subunit ribosomal RNA", at positions 526 to 896 of the family's 1533-position model. The record is from RNAcentral.
CAGAGGGGGCAAGCGUUGUUCGGAAUUACUGGGCGUAAAGGGCGCGUAGGUGGCCUUCUAAGUCGAACGUGAAAUCCCCGGGCUCAACCCGGGAACUGCGUCCGAUACUGGAAGGCUUGAAUCCGGGAGAGGGAUGCGGAAUUCCAGGUGUAGCGGUGAAAUGCGUAGAUAUCUGGAGGAACACCGGUGGCGAAGGCGGCAUCCUGGACCGGCAUUGACGCUGAGGCGCGAAAGCCAGGGGAGCAAACGGGAUUAGAUACCCCGGUAGUCCUGGCCCUAAACGAUGAAUGCUUGGUGUGGCGGGUAUCGAUCCCUGCCGUGCCGAAGCUAACGCAUUAAGCAUUCCGCCUGGGGAGUACGGUCGCAAGGCUG